GAGACCCACGCCAACAGUUGCCAGCAUGUCCUCCGGGAUGAUGGGGACACUGUUGGGACCGCCUCUGCUAAAGAGGAGGAAGGAAUGGGCAACGGUAGGUCAGCAUGCCCCGAAUUACCCGGGCUACACGCGGGCUACAAUGGGCAGGACAAUGGGAAUCGACACCGAGAGGUGAAGGCAAUCCCCUAAACCUGCCCUUAGUUCGGAUUGUGGGCUGCAACUCGCCCACAUGAAGCUGGAAUCCGUAGUAAUCGCGGAUCAACAUUCCGCGGUGAAUAU
This 279-nucleotide ribosomal RNA is filed under the name uncultured archaeon. Its description in RNAcentral is "partial 16S rRNA". It matches the Rfam family "Archaeal small subunit ribosomal RNA", at positions 1047 to 1325 of the family's 1478-position model. The record is from RNAcentral.